RNAcentral lists this long non-coding RNA (2804 nucleotides) under Mus musculus (house mouse). RNAcentral describes it as "long non-coding RNA chr13:92855412-92858216". The record is from RNAcentral. Lineage: Eukaryota; Metazoa; Chordata; Mammalia; Rodentia; Muridae.
AGAGGUGGUGGUAGCAGCCAGCAUGGGAACAGGGAUUAUGCCCAUUUUUAAUUUUGUUGAUUUUACAGAGCUAGAAAAAAAAUUUAGUUUGCUAAUUCCCACAGGAAAACACCCUCAGUGAGCACUGUCAUCACAGUGGUGACCUAACACUGAAGAAACCACAGACAAGGGCAUGAGGGGACCCCACAAAAGGCUCACAGUAGCAAAUGUCGGGGUACUAGAGGACCUGAUACUUUUUGGAAGCAACCAUUUUUAUUUCCAGUUAUAAUCCCUAAAAAUUUAUAACUGAUAAAUACAGUAACACAGGGAACAAAGAUACUUAAGUUAAAUCUAAGUUAAAGUGUUUUCAAAGUUUAAAAAUGGGCAAAAUGAACAUCAACAGAGGCAGAAACUUGUGGAAUAUUGUAAGAAAACCACUUUGUUCAGGUGGUAUUUGAAUUGGGUACUGCAUCUCAAGACAUGCACCUACCAAGCUUGCUCAAAAUGAUUUUUUUUUUUUGGUAGGGUCAACAGUUUUUCAACAGCCACAACAAUAACCACUCAAAGGCAGAAUAUAAAUAUUUAAAUAUGCGUGGGAGCUGAAUGGAUGGCUCAGUACUUGAGAGAACGCACUGCUCUUGCUGAGGACGUGGGUUCAGUUCCCAGGACCUCUAGCAGGGGGUUUACAACCUUCUGGAACUCUAGCUCCAGGGGAUCUGGCGCCCCCUUCUGGAAUCCAUGAGCACCUGUACUCAAAAUGUUCCUGUACCCACCCCACCCACACACACAUACACAUAAUUAACAGUAAAAUAUAUUUAAAUAUACUUAGGAAGCUGAAUGAUGGGGCCAUGGAAUAUCUCCUUCCAUUUUUGUAAUGCUUUAAGAGUCUAUAAUUAUUCCAAAAUAAAAGGAUUUUCAAAAAGCAAACCUAAUAGAGUAAGUUCGUCACUAUCUACAUAUCUCUAUCUUAAAAUUUAACACUGCAGACUUAGUAUUCAGUUCCAAAUGAGAACUAGAUUAUAUACUGAUAAUUUUUUUAUUUCACUCUUGAGUUUAAAGAAAAAGGGGCUCAGGUUUCUAACAUGCUUCCCGGAAGAUCGCCCUUGCCUUGUGAGAAUGUUUCUAACAACCUCACACCAAAACGGAUUUUCCAUUAAAAUAUCAAGAUGCUUAUGAUUUUACGUUUCUAAUGUGUGUUAACUGAAGCAUCACUGGGCUUGAGAGUGCUGCCCGUCAUGAUGAGAAGGCCAGGGGGCCUUUGGUUCUUUGUUAGUGUGGAAGUUGCUGUUGGUGUUGCAAUCGCUGGGACCCCAGGAUGCUUGUUUGGCACUCAGUGCUGUUGUGUCCAAAGCAAAUGAGGACUCUGGGAAUUUAAAAGGCUUAAAAAUAUUUUUCCAGAAAAACAGUCCGUGGAUUACUUAAAAGAAUUAACAUUCUUAAACAGCACCAUGUGAUGGAAGGGGAGCUGGAGCUGAUUGCUUGUGAGUAGUGAAGGUGCGUUGUGAUAGAGGAUCGUGCCAACAGAAUAAGCAGCUUCUUUCAAAGGGGAAACAGGCUAGUUGUUUUUAUGCCCUCGUUAUUAUUAAUCUGAAGUUAUAAGGUAAAAAACAUUUAGUUUCUGCAAGAGUAGAUUCUAAGAGGGAAUUUGGCAGAAUAUGUUGUUCUACUAAGUUUGGAAAAUGCUGUAUUGUGCAGAGCUGACUUGCUGUAGGCUUUUCAGAGCCUUUGAUGUGUAAAUGUGUGUUUUUGGUUUCUAGCUUCAGAGAUGUUUUACUUUAUUAGCAAAGAGGACAGACUGAACAAGGCUGCGCGCAGGCGCAUACUCAUCCCCCAGGGGGACUCAUUGUCUCCAGUAAGCACCUCCACUUAAUACCACUUCCCUAACUUAUUUUACUGAGGAUUUUUUAAAAGUCGAUGUUUUAUGGGAUUUGUGUUCUGAGAAAUGUCCUUAGGAGAACAUUGAGGAUUUGUUGUCUGUGCUCAUUACAAAGUUUCUGCUUUGAGUGUUUCUCUGGUGAUGGUAAGGGCGACUAAACAAGCUCCAUUUCUCCCAGAGUCUAAACCAGCUCACCAGUGAGGCCAUGGCGUUUUGUCAGCCUCUGCAGCAUAUAUACACAGUCGCAGGCUCGAUGCUCCAGGGUUUGGAUGUACAUUAGAAGCACAACUUGCCGUGCGGUUUGGGUGCUGGAGUAAUGGUGAGCAACCAACCACAGGAAAAGCUCUUGGACCUUAGUCCUGACGCUUCGGUUUUCCACUCGAAGAUUAGAGCAAUGCCUGUAAUCAUGUAGUUUACAUAUCCCAGAUCUUUGGCGAUCACUGGAAGUGCCCUGCCAGAGUUUGCAUCAGCCUCUGAGAGUCAUUGGAGAAGGAGAAGGCCAUUCUGGCUGCUUGUUCUUUGGUCUGUGGGCUGCUGGCGUCUUGAUCUGAUGGCGGACGGGUGUAUACAAGCCUUUAAAUGCAUAAAGAUGAUUUGGGUUUCUCUUACGUCUUAUUGUUUUAUAAAAUAGAAACCAUCCUUAAGUGAAACUGAGGUUUUGUAGCUUCACUUUAGCUUUCUGGAAGAUCAACAGAGGAAGGGACAAGAGCUGCAUAUGAUGUUUAUUGGCUCCGUCUCCCAAGGCAGUCUCUGGAUGGGAAACAACGUAAGCAUCUGUUCUAGUGUGCAAAUACCAUAGCCUUGCCUACUGUGAAUGUAUUUUACCUAGAGCUGAUGUAGAAAUACCCAGAAGUGGAAAUGAUGGUCACUGUUAAGAAUGUAUUCUGACAAAUGAGAAACUGGAUAUAAUCUCAAAAUAGCUAUUUUCUCAAUAAAAUUUCAAAUCAUU